GUGCCAGCAGCCGCGGUAAUACGGAGGUGGCAAGCGUUGUCCGGAUUUAUUGGGUGUAAAGGGCAUGUAGGUGGCCCAGCAAGUCGAUUGUGAAAGCCCUCGGCUUAACCGAGGAACUGCAACCGAUACUGCUGGGCUUGAGUGCAGAAGAGGAAAGCGGAAUUCCCGGUGUAAGGGUGAAAUCUGUAGAGAUCGGGAGGAACACCAGUGGCGAAGGCGGCUUUCUGGUCUGCAACUGACACUGAAAUGCGAAAGCAAGGGGAGCAAACAGGAUUAGAUACCCUGGUAGUCCUUGCCGUAAACGAUGGACACUAGGUGUCGGGUAGCAAUAUUCGGUGCCGCAGUUAACACAUUAAGUGUCCCACCUGGGGACUACGGCCGCAAGGUUGAAACUCAAAGGAAUUGACGGGGACCCGCACAAGCGGUGGAGCAUGUGGUUUAAUACGACGCUACGCGUGGAACCUUACCAGGGCUUGACAUGUACAUGAAAUCCUUAUGAAAGUAGGGACCUCCCUUCAAGGACAUGUACACAGGUGUUGCAUGGCUGUCGUCAGCUCGUGUCGUGGAGAUGUUGGGUUAAGUCCCGCAACGAGCGCAACCAUUGUCUUUAGUUGCCAGUUACUUCGGUAAGCGCACUUCUAGAGAGAACUGCCUGUUGUUAACAGGAGGAAGUGAAGAACGACGUCA
RNAcentral lists this ribosomal RNA (687 nucleotides) under uncultured bacterium. Its description in RNAcentral is "bacterial SSU rRNA". It matches the Rfam family "Bacterial small subunit ribosomal RNA", at positions 505 to 1187 of the family's 1533-position model. The record is from RNAcentral.